Molecule: ribosomal RNA, 497 nt
Filed under: uncultured bacterium
Lineage: Bacteria
Description: partial 16S ribosomal RNA
Rfam family: Bacterial small subunit ribosomal RNA
Source: RNAcentral
GAUGAACGCUGGCGGCGUGCCUAAUACAUGCAAGUCGAGCGAACAGACGAGGAGCUUGCUCCUCUGACGUUAGCGGCGGACGGGUGAGUAACACGUGGAUAACCUACCUAUAAGACUGGGAUAACUUCGGGAAACCGGAGCUAAUACCGGAUAAUAUAUUGAACCGCAUGGUUCAAUAGUGAAAGCCGGUUUUGCUGUCACUUAUAGAUGGAUCCGCGCCGCAUUAGCUAGUUGGUAAGGUAACGGCUUACCAAGGCAACGAUGCGUAGCCGACCUGAGAGGGUGAUCGGCCACACUGGAACUGAGACACGGUCCAGACUCCUUCGGGAGGCAGCAGUAGGGAAUCUUCCGCAAUGGGCGAAAGCCUGACGGAGCAACGCCGCGUGAGUGAUGAAGGUCUUCGGAUCGUAAAACUCUGUUAUUAGGGAAGAACAAAUGUGUAAGUAACUAUGCACGUCUUGACGGUACCUAAUCAGAAAGCCACGGCUAACUACGUG